AACGAACGCUGGCGGCGUGCUUAACACAUGCAAGUCGAACACUAAAGGGACUUCGGUCCCGAGUAGAGUGGCGCACGGGUGAGUAACGCGUAAGUAAUCUACCCCUGCGUUCGGAAUAACCCACCGAAAGGUGAGCUAAUACCGGAUACGUUUAUCUUGAUGCGAAUGAUGAUAAAGAAAGGUGGCCUCUUCAUGAAAGCUACUGUGCAGGGAUGAGCUUGCGUACCAUUAGCUAGUUGGUAGGGUAAUGGCCUACCAAGGCGACGAUGGUUAGCGGGUCUGAGAGGAUGAUCCGCCACACUGGAACUGGAACACGGACCAGACUCCUACGGGAGCAGCAGUGAGGAUAUUGCGCAAUGGGGGAAAGCCUGACGCAGCGACGCCGCGUGGGGGAUGAAGGUUUUCGGAUUGUAAACCCCUUUCAUGAGGAAAGAUAAAGUGGGUAACCACUUAGACGGUACCUCAAGAAGAAUCCACGGCUAACUUCGUGCCAGCAGCCGCGGUAAAGUG
RNAcentral lists this ribosomal RNA (510 nucleotides) under uncultured bacterium. RNAcentral's name for it is "bacterial SSU rRNA". It matches the Rfam family "Bacterial small subunit ribosomal RNA", at positions 29 to 527 of the family's 1533-position model. The record is from RNAcentral.